AAGUCGUAACAAGGUUUCCGUAGGUGAACCUGCGGAAGGAUCAUUACCAAAUCCAAAUCCUUCAACCCCUUGUGAACUAUGAUUUUAUUUAUUGUUUGUCUUUGGGGAGAGUGUUAAAAUCUUGCUUCGAAAAUCUUUCUUCGAAAGAUUUUAGAUUUAAAGUUUUUUUAUGCUCCCCAAAAGAGUUUCCCUCUUCUGAGGUUGAACUCAAAUAUUUAAAACUACUUUUUAUAAACUUUUUUUGGAAUGCUUUUAUUUUUACUAAUAAAAGACAACUUUUAACGGUGGAUCUCUUGGCUCGU
RNAcentral lists this unclassified non-coding RNA (302 nucleotides) under fungal sp. RNAcentral's name for it is "partial internal transcribed spacer region". The stretch from base 1 to 46 matches the Rfam family "Eukaryotic small subunit ribosomal RNA", at positions 1786 to 1831 of the family's 1831-position model. Lineage: Eukaryota; Fungi. The record is from RNAcentral.